Molecule: long non-coding RNA, 316 nt
Filed under: Brassica napus (rape)
Lineage: Eukaryota; Viridiplantae; Streptophyta; Magnoliopsida; Brassicales; Brassicaceae
Description: long non-coding RNA (BNAP_LNC008701)
Source: RNAcentral
AGAAAACAUAACCGUGUGGAUAUAAAUAUAUGGAACAAGACUUAGGUUCACUUUUAGGGUGCAGGGUAAACCUUUAAAUUCAUCUCUCCUCUUAUUACCAAUCAAAAUGCCACUUAGAUUAAUAAUAAAAUAGAUUAAAUUUAUUUAAAAAAAUCUGAAAUAAUUGAAAAAAAUAAUAACGCGAAUUUUAAUGAUACUAACACCAUUAACUAAACCCUAAAUUUUAAAUCUAUACCCUAAACCCAAACCGUAAACCCUAAACCCAAACCCUAUAUCCUAAACCCAAAUCCUAAACCUUAAACCCAAACCGUAAACC